Molecule: ribosomal RNA, 253 nt
Filed under: uncultured bacterium
Lineage: Bacteria
Description: partial 16S ribosomal RNA
Rfam family: Bacterial small subunit ribosomal RNA
Source: RNAcentral
UACGGAGGGUGCAAGCGUUAUCCGGAUUCACUGGGUUUAAGGGGUGCGUAGGUGGGCAGGUAAGUCAGUGGUGAAAUCUCCGGGCUUAACCCGGAAACUGCCGUUGAUACUAUCUGUCUUGAAUAUCCUGGAGGUGAGCGGAAUAUGUCAUGUAGCGGUGAAAUGCUUAGAUAUGACAUAGAACACCAAUUGCGAAGGCAGCUCACUACGGGAUCAUUGACACUGAGGCACGAAAGCGUGGGGAUCAAACAGG